Long non-coding RNA from Coregonus clupeaformis (lake whitefish), 237 nucleotides. RefSeq lists it as uncharacterized. Lineage: Eukaryota; Metazoa; Chordata; Actinopteri; Salmoniformes; Salmonidae. The record is from RefSeq and is a predicted model, not a curated record. The transcript is spliced from 3 exons.
GUCUGGCUUCCGUAAACAAGAGAUGGAUUGGAGAUUUGGCCUUGUGGGAACACUAACCCUAUAAAAGAGCGCGUCUGUUAUUUUUUUCGCUGGUUAGCGAAAGGACUAUUUCGUAGAACACGCCGUCUACUGUUUCGGAGAGGUACAGCCGUUCUGCAACCAGGAAGGUCUGUCCAUUGAGCAGGUGCUCCGAGCCCUGGCUGUCCUCGCUGCCGAAGUGCAGGCGGAUCUCCUCCA